This 501-nucleotide ribosomal RNA is filed under the name uncultured bacterium. RNAcentral describes it as "bacterial SSU rRNA". It matches the Rfam family "Bacterial small subunit ribosomal RNA", at positions 10 to 507 of the family's 1533-position model. The record is from RNAcentral.
AGUUUGAUCAUGGCUCAGGAUGAACGCUAGCGGCAGGCCUAAUACAUGCAAGACGAACGUAAGUUGAGUAGCAAUACUUAGCCAAGAGUGUCGUACGGGGUGCGUAACACGUAUGCAACCUACCCUAUACAGGAGGAUAGCCUAGGGAAACCUGGAUUAACCCUUCAUAGUAUUAUUGGAUGGCAUCAUUUGAUAAUUAAAACUGAGGUGGUAUAGGAUGGGCAUGCGUCUGAUUAGUUAGUUGGCGGGGUAAUGGCCCACCAAGACGAUGAUCAGUAGGGGUUCUGAGAGGAAGAUCCCCCACACUGGCACUGAGAUACGGGCCAGACUCCUACGGGAGGCAGCAGUAGGGAAUAUUGGUCAAUGGAUGCAAGUCUGAACCAGCCGUGCCGCGUGCAGGAAGAAGGCCUUCCGGGUUGUAAACUGCUUUUGCCAGGGGAUAAAAUUUCCAUGCGUGGAAAACUGAAGGUACCUGGUGAAUAAGCCACGGCUAACUACGUG